AAAAAAAAAAAAAGUCUGUGUUAGAGUGAGAGCAUAGAUAAUAACCAGCUACUACUGUGAAGAUAAUUCAUGUUCCAUUUGAACACCUUUCUUUUCUGCUCCAACAUUCCUGAAGCACUCCACAAUCCUUACAGGCCUGUUGUGAGAAGGUUAGGAUGGGGAGGUGUAUGAGAACUGUUGAGUCACAGCCUGCACCACUGAUUGAGCACCUGGGGAAAGGACCUGGUCAGCAUUGGGAGCACAGCUGAAUACAAUUCAUCUGUGUGACCAGAAGGGGUGGAGCCUGGCUGCACCUCUCUUAAGCCUCAUUUAAGGGCUGACUGCCACUGGGAAAGGAUGUCUGGUUGGAGAUGUCUCCCUUGUGGAGUUUUCCUUGUGAGCCUAGAUCUUUAGAUACAGAUACCUCUGCACGUGCUGCCAAUCUAUCUCUAUGGGCUGCUCAAAAGAAGUGUCAAAAGCAGUGUGGCCAGCAGGUCCAGGGAGGUGAUCCUGCCCCUCUGUUCUGUGUGGAUGAGACUAUAUGGAGCACAGCACCCAGAUGUGGAGUUCUCAGUACAAGAAAAGACAUGGACCUUUGGAACACUCCCAAGGAGGGCCACAAAAAUGACUCAAGGAUAAGACAGAGGACUCCUGGACCCCACGGCUGACUUGUCUCAGAGAGGUAAACAAGAGGAGUGUCCAUGAUGAGCAUCCAGUUAAGGGGUCCACUUGGAAGCAAGAGUGUGUUCCAGCAUCCACGCUGCUGACUUCCAGUCACAUUCGUAUGCUCAGCUUAAACAACAAGUGCAUGUUAUGUCACCAGUGAGAUAGCAAGAGGAGGUGACGUUUCACAGCACGGACAUAGGGGGAAAGGAAGUGAAAAUGAGCACCUUCAAGAGCAGAAAUCUGCUCGCUUAAAUGUGGUUUGAAUGUCCCUGGUUCAAUGUCUCUUUGCAUGCCUCUUCCAAGCCAUGCUGCACAAAUAAAAAAGGAUGGGCAGUUUAUAUUUCUUUGGCUCCCUGCCUGCAUCAGUUAAGCUGGGUGCUGAUGAAUUCAGCCAGAGGCCUCUAAAUUGAAUCCAUGCCUUUUCCUAUGCUUUUUUUUAUUAGGUGACACCAGUAAGUGUAUUUUUCAUUUUAAAAUAAGAGAUUCUUUGACUAUCUUAACAAGAAUUAAUCUUGGAUUGGAUGGAUGUUGGGUAUGAUUGGGCUGUCUCCUCAAGUGAAGACUCCUCCAGGGUCCACCCUAGCCUUUACUGAGCUGGAGACCUGUGGACAAGACUAAUAGGGAACUGCCUUACACUGCGAGGUAAGGUGAGUAACUUCACAAUCCUCCCACUAGGUAGGUAUCAGUAAAGAGGAUCUAGAACAUCUUUAACUUCCAUUCAAAGCCACUGUGAUGAGUUCAGUAGCUGCUCUCACAGGAGAGGCCCUCAGUCUGCUAACUCCCAUCUCUGACAUAGGUAGAGCAAAGGUCACACCACUUUUGUAGUCAUCCCAGCAGCACCAUCUCUCCCCAUGUUAUUGACUUUCUUACAGGCAAAGCUGGCAGAAUGAAUGCCAUUCUUCAUAAGUCUUAGCAGGAGGGGCUACUGAAGGAAACAAGGAGCUAGAUGUUGAGGAGUCUACCAUGACAAACAAACUAUAGGGCUGCUGAGACACUCAAGGUAGCCAAAACAGACCAAAACCAGAGUCAAAGUCCUGAAGACACAGGCAUCUACCAAGUACAUUGGCUCUGAACAGUGUCUUUUCGUUGAUCGCUUCUUGCCCUACACCACCCAAGUAAGCUUUGGGGAUUUCAGAUACACAAAGGAAAAGCUGCUGACUACCUCCAAUGUGGCUUCAAGAAGGUUUGUUAGACAGAAAUAUUACUAAAAAAAUGCCAUAAUUAUUGAUAUCUAUGAUAAAGCUCAAGGAAUGGCUGAGACAGUUGUUGCCAAUCUAUUUGCAAAUUUGGAAGCGAGGCAGAUGUACCCCCUCGGCUCUGCUUGAAGCCUUCUGACAGAAGCUGCUAAAGGAGCAGGUGCUUUGAGCAGACCUUAUUACCAAAGAGGCUACAAGAUGACAGCUGUGAGAAAAUGAAGCUGUUCUCUGCAGAGGGGUUGCAGGAGGAGUGGGACAACGUCUUGGAAAAAAGCCCCGUUACGGUUUUAUUAGUCAAGUAUGAAAGGAAUAUUGUACAUCCAGGGAACAUAUGCUGCAAUACUGUUGAUUCUCACUCUUUUUAUAAGGCAUGGGGAAGAAGUGCUUUUUGCAGAGCACUAAUGGCAGACCUCAUCCCCAUCGAGUCCAAGCGGACUUCUGCAGCAUCAGGUUGUUGAGGUUAAUGCAAGAUCAAAACCCUUUGCUGGAAUUAAAAUCAGCUCCAAACAGACACGUGAAGGCUUCCAUUCCAUCUGAGGUAAAUUUUUGCAGAAGUUUUGGCUUACUGUAACCGAUCUUCUAACGAUUUCUGAAAGGAAUAGCUCCUGCAGGCAACUUGUUGGGAGCUGCAGAAAAGUCCUGGUCACCCCAUCUCCCGUUAAAGGGAGAAUAUGCAGAGC
Meleagris gallopavo (turkey) is the source of this 2521-nucleotide non-coding RNA. Lineage: Eukaryota; Metazoa; Chordata; Aves; Galliformes; Phasianidae. The record is from RefSeq and is a predicted model, not a curated record.